This 179-nucleotide ribosomal RNA is filed under the name Salmonella enterica subsp. enterica serovar Agona str. SA-4. RNAcentral's name for it is "partial 23S ribosomal RNA". It matches the Rfam family "Bacterial large subunit ribosomal RNA", at positions 2754 to 2925 of the family's 2925-position model. Lineage: Bacteria; Pseudomonadati; Pseudomonadota; Gammaproteobacteria; Enterobacterales; Enterobacteriaceae. The record is from RNAcentral. RNAcentral also lists the same sequence under 1 other name.
UGCGGAAGAGAUAAGUGCUGAAAGCAUCUAAGCACGAAACUUGCCCCGAGAUGAGUUCUCCCUGAGACUUAGAGUCUCCUGAAGGAACGUUGAAGACGACGACGUUGAUAGGCCGGGUGUGUAAGCGCAGCGAUGCGUUGAGCUAACCGGUACUAAUGAACCGUGAGGCUUAACCUUAC